RNAcentral lists this ribosomal RNA (253 nucleotides) under uncultured bacterium. RNAcentral describes it as "partial 16S ribosomal RNA". It matches the Rfam family "Bacterial small subunit ribosomal RNA", at positions 524 to 776 of the family's 1533-position model. The record is from RNAcentral.
UACGUAGGGUGCAAGCGUUAAUCGGAAUUACUGGGCGUAAAGCGUGCGCAGGCGGUUUUGUAAGUUUGUCGUGAAAGCCCCGAGCUUAACUUGGGAAUUGCAUUCGAGACUGCGUAGCUAGGGUGCGGAAGAGGGAAGCGGAAUUUCCGGUGUAGCGGUGAAAUGCGUAGAUAUCGGAAGGAACACCAGUGGCGAAAGCGGCUUCCUGGUCCAGCACCGACGUUCAGGCACGAAAGCGUGGGGAGCAAACAGG